RNAcentral lists this ribosomal RNA (513 nucleotides) under uncultured microorganism. RNAcentral describes it as "bacterial SSU rRNA". It matches the Rfam family "Bacterial small subunit ribosomal RNA", at positions 9 to 508 of the family's 1533-position model. The record is from RNAcentral.
GAGUUUGAUCUUGGCUCAGGAUGAACGCUGGCGGCGCGCCUAAUACAUGCAAGUCGAGCGAACGGACGAGAAGCUUGCUUCUCUGAUGUUAGCGGCGGACGGGUGAGUAACACGUGGAUAACCUACCUAUAAGACUGGGAUAACUUCGGGAAACCGGAGCUAAUACCGGAUAAUAUUUUGAACCGCAUGGUUCAAAAGUGAAAGACGGUCUUGCUGUCACUUAUAGAUGGAUCCGCGCUGCAUUAGCUAGUUGGUAAGGUAACGGCUUACCAAGGCAACGAUGCAUAGCCGACCUGAGAGGGUGAUCGGCCACACUGGAACUGAGACACGGUCCAGACUCCUACGGGAGGCAGCAGUAGGGAAUCUUCCGCAAUGGGCGAAAGCCUGACGGAGCAACGCCGCGUGAGUGAUGAAGGUCUUCGGAUCGUAAAACUCUGUUAUUAGGAAGAACAUAUGUGUAAGUAACUGUGCACAUCUUGACGGUACUAAUCAGAAGCACGGCUAACUACGUCG